UACGAGGGGGGCAAGCGUUGUUCGGAAUUAUUGGGCGUAAAGGGCGCGUAGGCGGUUUGGCAAGUUUGGUGUGAAAUCUUCGGGCUCAACUCGAAGUCUGCAUCGAAAACUGCCGGGCUUGAGUAUGGGAGAGGUGAGUGGAAUUUCCGGUGUAGCGGUGAAAUGCGUAGAUAUCGGAAGGAACACCUGUGGCGAAAGCGGCUCACUGGACCAUAACUGACGCUGAGGCGCGAAAGCUAGGGGAGCAAACAGG
Molecule: ribosomal RNA, 253 nt
Filed under: uncultured bacterium
Lineage: Bacteria
Also listed under: 1 other name
Description: partial 16S ribosomal RNA
Rfam family: Bacterial small subunit ribosomal RNA
Source: RNAcentral